This 602-nucleotide long non-coding RNA is filed under the name Cricetulus griseus (Chinese hamster). Its description in RNAcentral is "lncRNA (ENSCGRG00015039356.1)". The record is from RNAcentral. Lineage: Eukaryota; Metazoa; Chordata; Mammalia; Rodentia; Cricetidae.
GGAACUAUAGGGUCACAGCAUUAGGAAGGUUGAGAACCACUGCAAACUAACCUGAGGUUGAAGACCUACAGAAAACCGAAUCCAGCACGAGGAGGAUGCAAGGCUCCCCGCAGACAGCUUUCUGGGCCCCUUCAGACACGGACUGAUACCAAGCUUAUCGUUGGUUUCUCAGCAAAGGCAGAUAAGAUGGCAGCUAAUGAGAUUUGCUCCUGGAAAACUCACCAGAGCCGUAAUUCAUCGGCUGCUUUUGAGUCACUACAGCUGAAGCAGGGAGGAGCUAUAAGAAAUCAUUUUGUCACCUGCUUUAGACAGCUGAAAACCCACCCAACAAGGACCGCACUGAUCUCAGGCAAAUGAGUGGGAGACAAAAGUACCCAGAACCCUACAUCAAACACUGGAUCUCUCUACACAGCCCUGGCUGUCCUGGAACUCACUAAGUAGACCAUGUUGGUCUCGAACUCACAGAGAUCUACAAGUCUCUGCCUCCAGAGUGCUGGAAUUGAAGAAAGAAACCCUUAGACAAGAAUGACAACAAAAGAAUAAAGUGUCUGCAAUACUCAGUUACAAAAAGCAGAAAAAGUAAAAGGAUGAUUUCAACCAUG